AACAAAUAUGCAGAUCAACAAAUACAUUAGAUACCAAUCUGACAAAAAUUUAAAAUGUAUUUACAUUUUGUUCUAUCUGUCCUCUUUAAAUAUUGGACUUACAAAGUUACAGAAGAAACAGUUGCUUAGAGGGAAGGCUAAAUACAAAUGUUUACGUUCGUUCAGCUAAGACACACACUGAACGGCUUAAUGAACUAAACUUUAAGACGCUACUGGAUCAGCUACCCUCUGGCCAUCAGUUCUACAUUUCUGGAAACGGCAGAGUCAGAAAGCAACAAAAUGACAGUGCCAGCUCUUGUUUGCGAUCCAAACAAGAGCUGGCAACUGUUGUGAAAAUCGGUAUAGAGUGGUGAGAUCUUUCCAGGUUCAUGCAGAAAACAGAUCAUAAAGGCCCGAGAGACAUAAGUGACCUUGCAUUUUGAUUUACUGAUGAUUAACAAAUAUAUAUAUUCUUGCAUUUUAAUUGCUGGUUGAUUAUAAGAAAUGUAUUCUUGUAUUUUGAUUUAUCAAUGAUUAUAAAAAUAAGGAUUUUUUGUACUUUGAUUUACUGAUGAUUAUACAAAGAGUUGAUGUAAUAAAAACAUUAUAAGAAAUGAAUAACAUGAUGAGUAAAUGGUGAAUAGAAUUAAAACUCAGAUGAUUAUUAUAAGAAGUUAUGUUUGCAUUAAAACAGAAGGUUAAUUAUGUUUAAUGAUUUAUGAUGAUCAUACAGCACACAGAAUGGUAACUGAAGUAAUAACACAUUUUGUGAAGUGAAGUGACAUACUGUUCCCAGACUGUGUUAUAAUUAGAGCAGAAGUCAGGGCCAGAGCUGAGUGGGUAGGCAGGGGAGUUCCAAAGAGGAAGUAAAGUGUUUUCUUCUAAACUAGAUUGAGGAAGUAAAACCAGACGGUCAGUGGACAACAGCAAAAAGGGGAAGUAAGCAAGGCAUUGACUGCUGUGAGAAGAUUUGGUGCAUUCCACAGAGCCAUCGAACGUUCGAGAAGUCCCAUACACAACCAUGGGAUGAGAGAGUAUAAAAUCCCAUGAAAAAGAGGAAGAAGUCUUCUUAGUCCGCGGUGCUGAAGUCAAGCCAACAAGAGGACGCAGACAGAAGAUAAGCAGACGACCGCACCCUGGAGCCACAGGGAAGUUGAGACUCCGCACUACUAGAAGGGUACAUCAACCCUCAGCCAUGGUUUCUGAUUCGACUGCCUACUCUGCCUCAAACCAAAGAUCUCAAGGCUACUGCAACAGACUUGGGGAAAAGACAAAGGUCACUGUGUGAUGAAGAUCUGUGAGUUCGAAAGACAGCAACCAGUUCUGCCUUGCUUCUAUUCUGAAGAGGAUUUUGCUGUACAAAGGGAAAGUUGCCGAGUUCAUUCAUUAUCUGGGUAUGAGCUGAACUGCACCCCAAAGCCUUGCUCAGUAAAUUAGUGACACUGGUUAGGGAAAAAGUCAGGAUAGAAUGAAGAUGGUUUAUAAUGAUUUUAAUUUUUAUUCUUAAUCUGUAAUCAUUGAUAAUUAAUCUGUCUGCCACUUACCCCUUCUAAAAGCUUGCUUAAUAAAGAUGCAUUAAAAUUCUAAUAAGAUUUGUGGACAGUGAAAUUAAUUGAGUCAUCUAUUAUUUUAUGGUUCUCCUAAUUAGUGUAAAAUCUAUGAACAUGAUUCUAGAAAUGUGGUGGUUUCAGAAAUUCCUUUAUUGUUGGUAAAAUAAUGACCCUGGGACUUAUGUUGAGCCACUAAAAACUAUCUAGUCUGUAACAAGUGCACAUUGUUGAUAGAGGGAGAGCUACCAUUAACAAGAGUGGUUAUUGAAGUUAUGCAGUUGUGAGGGCUACUCAUCUGAUUGCUUCUUAACUGAAAAGGGUCAUAACUCUUGGAUUGUAGAUAGUUAAAGGCUAAAUGAAUCUCUCUCGAUGCCAGCUUAGACAGAUUAUCUCUCUUAGACCUGCUUCAGGGUAAGACUUGAAGGUUUAGAGAUUUUCCAUUUAGAUGGAGAGCUGGUCAGUAGUCAGUCCUUGGGAGUUGUGAGAUUUAGGGCGGGGCUGGCUAUUGUGCAAUAACACAAUGGAGCUGAAUUGGUACUGUUGAUAACAAUAUGGAAUUGUCAGAUGAGGUUUGAAGUUCCCCAGCUCAGCCUGUAAGUUAUGUUCAAUAUACUCUUGUACAUUGGAAUGUAAAUGGAUGGACCGAAACAAACUCAGAACUUAGACAGUUAAUACUGAGGAGUUUUAAUCCAGACUUUAUUUCACUUAAUGAGACUCAUCUAACUAGACAAAACACAAUUAAAUUUGAUGGUUACACUUUGGACAGAAUAAAAAGAUGCAUAUUAGAGCUAAGAAAGGUUCUGGUGGGCUCGGAGUUUUUAACUCGGAAUUGAGUUAACAACUCAAUUCUGUUGCAAUAUCGUGUUUUUUUCUGUUGAUAAAUGUAUUAAUCGUAUUGUUUGUAUUCAGUUAAAGCAUGUAAAAAAUACUCUUUAGCUUUGAUUUCAUGUUAUCUUCCUCUGGAAGGAUUUAACUGGUCUUAUCCACAUAGAUUAUAUAAUGAUCUUCUGGUUAAAAUCUACAAUCUGGUCGAAAUGGAUGCCAUCUAUGUUUGUGGGGAGUUAAUAGUCAAUUUGGACGUUUAGAAAAUUGUAUUAAUGAAAUUGAUGUGGAUAUUCCGGUUAGAAUGUGUACAGAUGAGACUGUCAGCAAACAAGGGAAAAUUUUAAUUGAUAUUUUGAAAGACACUAAGUGCUGUGUGGUAAAUGGUCGAAUAAAUGUGAAUAAUAAUUUCACUUCAGUAUUGGUAAAAGGAAAAGCGGUUGUGGAUUAUAUUAUCACUACUUACAACUGUUUACGCACCUCUGUUAAUUUAGAUAUACUCCAAAUGAAUUAAUAGAGAGGGGUGGUAAAAAGUGACUUGAUUUACUGGACCAUUUUUGUAAAAUACUUGAUCACUCUUUAUUAGUUCUUACUUUUAGGGUCAAGGAAACAUUAGUCCUACACAUGGUGAGGGACAUCCUAACUUAAAUUCAAAAUGUUGCUUUAGAAAAUUUUUAUCAUGCCCCGUUUCAAAUGCCUCAUUGCAAUUUGUGGCUGGCACAUUUGUAGAACGACUUAAGCAUGUCAAUUAUCAAAAUUCGCUGAAUGUAUGGUAUGAUGAUUUUUGUAAUUAUGUUUAUGAUGCUAUAAGAUUCAGUAAAAAAGUUAUUAGUGGUAAUAAGAGACAAGACAAAAAAAAUUAUUUUAUUGGAACGAGGAAUUAAAAGUGUUCUAGAAUGACCUAGAAUGACUUAAAACUAGCUGAGAAAAGAUUUUUCUGAUAUUUUGAUAAGGAUUUGAGGACUUAUAUACGAGAUCAGGCAGUAAAGAAUGACUUUAAUCAAACUCACAACCUGCAGGAAUUUUGGAACUUGAUCAACCAAUUAGGGCCCAGAAAAACAAAAACAUCUCCUUGGACGUGGUUCAGGAGGAUGGCUCUGUAUGUCUUGAUAUUAACAAUGUUUUGCAUUGGUGGCAAGCUGACUUUGGAGACUUAUUUUCUGGUAGUUUCGUCUCUCCUGAAUGGGAUUAUUCUUAUUUAGAAAGGACAAUAUCUAUUAAGAAUCAAAUUGAAAGUUUUAUGUGAAUGAGUUUCUCAAAUCUUCAAUUAAACUUUUAUAUUUCAGAAAAUGAACUCCAUAAAGCCAUUGAUAAGUUAAAAUUUGGGAAGGCUAUGGGUUAUGAUAAUUAGUCAAAUGAAGUCUUAAAACAACCUGGAUUAUUUCAGAUUUUAUUCAGUCUUUUCUUCAAUCUUUUUUCACAUGUUUUGAACAGGGUUUAGUCCCAUCUGAUUGGCAAAAAUUUAUAAUUAAACCAAUCCCAAACUACUGACCCUCGAGUACCUAUGAACUACAUACUAGAGGAGCAUUAGCUUACUUAGUUGUGUUUAUAAACUUUACUCAAGAGCUCUAAAUGAAAGAUUAAUUAAGUACUUAGAGUCUUGUAAAAAGAGGAACAGAAUGGGUUUAGAAAAAACGAGCCUGUAUAGAUCAUAUAUAUUCCUUAACCACAAUAGUUAAUGCAAGGACACAAGAAGUAAAGUCUACUUUUGCGUGUUUUCCAAAAAGCUUUUGAUUGUGUUAUUUUUUCAGUUAUUAAAAGCAGGAAUUGAUGAAAAAUUUGAUAAUUCUAUAAAAGCUGUUUAGCAAAACUCAGAAUCUUGUGUUCAGGUGAACGACAACAGAACACGAUGGUUUUUAACACCAUUUGGUGUUAAGGAGAUGUUCUGUCUCCCACUCUCUUCACAUUAUGUAUAAAUGACUUGGUAAUGGUAAUUAAAGAGGUAAAUUCAGGAGUGAGAGUCGGUGAGACAAACGUUUGCAGUUGAAAGUGAACCAGAUUUACAGAAAUUGUUAUAUAUCACUUAUGGUCAGUGU
Molecule: long non-coding RNA, 4387 nt
Organism: Xiphophorus couchianus (Monterrey platyfish)
Lineage: Eukaryota; Metazoa; Chordata; Actinopteri; Cyprinodontiformes; Poeciliidae
Exons: 2
Source: RefSeq, a predicted model, not a curated record